Molecule: non-coding RNA, 72 nt
Organism: Pangasianodon gigas (Mekong giant catfish)
Lineage: Eukaryota; Metazoa; Chordata; Actinopteri; Siluriformes; Pangasiidae
Source: the annotation of a GenBank genome assembly
UCCGCGUUAGUAUAGUGGUCAGUAUCUCUGCCUGUCACGCAGAAGAUUGAGGUUUGAUUCCCCGACAGAGAG